RNAcentral lists this ribosomal RNA (414 nucleotides) under bacterium enrichment culture clone ALO1_GLFRUDD03G5DOS. RNAcentral describes it as "bacterial SSU rRNA". It matches the Rfam family "Bacterial small subunit ribosomal RNA", at positions 9 to 424 of the family's 1533-position model. The record is from RNAcentral. RNAcentral also lists the same sequence under 1 other name.
GAGUUUGAUCAUGGCUCAGAUUGAACGCUGGCGGCAUGCCUUACACAUGCAAGUCGAACGGCAGCACGGGAGCUUGCUCCUGGUGGCGAGUGGCGAACGGGUGAGUAAUGCAUCGGAACGUAUCCUGGAGUGGGGGGAUAACGUAGCGAAAGUUACGCUAAUACCGCAUAUUCUGUGAGCAGGAAAGCGGGGGACCUUCGGGCCUCGCGCUCUUGGAGCGGCCGAUGUCGGAUUAGCUAGUUGGUGAGGUAAAGGCUCACCAAGGCGACGAUCCGUAGCAGGUCUGAGAGGAUGAUCUGCCACACUGGAACUGAGACACGGUCCAGACUCCUACGGGAGGCAGCAGUGGGGAAUUUUGGACAAUGGGGGCAACCCUGAUCCAGCCAUGCCGCGUGAGUGAAGAAGGCCUCGGUU